Varanus komodoensis (Komodo dragon) is the source of this 1384-nucleotide RNA transcript. It is a transcript of the gene named betacellulin, with no coding region annotated. The transcript has 6 exons. The record is from RefSeq and is a predicted model, not a curated record. Lineage: Eukaryota; Metazoa; Chordata; Lepidosauria; Squamata; Varanidae.
GAGUGCCGAGCCGCGCUCCCCCAGCCGCUGGAGAAGCCGUUCUCUCCGUUUGCGAGGGAGGGCCUCUGCUGCCUGCAUUUUUACCAGCCAGGCGCUGCCUUUUGUGGAUUGCUACAUUCCGCUUUCCGAGCUGCAGCUGGGCUUGGAUGGACCCGGUGGCGCUCCGGGGCCAUGGUCCCCUGCUUCUCCUGGGCCUGGCCGUUUUCAGCUGUGUGCCUGUUAAUGGAAAUGUAACAUCUGAACAUGAACUCAAGACACUGUCCUGCACCCUCUCAAAUGGAAACUGUACAGAUGGUUCCACAGGAGUGAAGUGGCAUGGACAUUUUUCAAAGUGUCCUGAGGAGUACAAGCACUACUGCAUCAAGGGAAGAUGUCGUUACGUUGCGGUGGAACAAACACCAGCAUGUGUCUGUGAGAUAGGCUACACUGGUGCAAGAUGUGAAAGGUUGGAUCUAUUUUACCUGAGAGGAGAUGAGGGCCAAAUUAUGGUGGUUUCUGUGAUAGCUGUUAUGGUGUUAGCUACCAUCCUGACUGUAUGUACAUGUACUUGCACACAUUACUGCCGGAAGAGAUGUCAGAGGAAGAAAGAAGAAAUGAGAACACUCAAUAAGGAAUUUCCUAUUAAAAUUGAAGAUACUGUACAAACAGACAUUGUAUUUCCAUAACCUGCAGUGCUUCUCCUUUGUUUGGGUAUUCAUUUUAGGGAAAAAAAUCAAAACAUUGGACUGCAUGCAUCAUUUUUGGAAGCAUUGUGAAAUGAUGGCUGCUGGGCAAGCAGCUUGCAGGACAUUUUGUUUGGUUUGGUUCUUUUUUCAACAAAUGGAGAUUCAAUAUAUUGAAAAAAAUUUGAAGAACAUGACAAGGGGGCGCCAAUUGGACCACAACAUCUGCCAACUGGAUAGCCAAAACCAUCAGGCUCUUGUACCAACUAGCCAACAUGGGCUUACCGAUCAACCCCAAAGGCCAUUGCAUGAGAGAUGUAUCCACUUCAUCAGCCCUGCAUUCUGGCAUAUCUCUGCAUGAACUAUGCAAAGUCACUACCUGGUUGACACUGUCCACCAUCACUACCAACUCGACCUUGAAGCCAAAUGGGAUUGCUCCUUUGGAUGUGCUAUGCUUUCUGCAGUUCUCCAAUAACAACACCUUCCUGCCUCCAAGAAUGGUAAGCUUGCUAGUCACUCCUAUGUAUGAUGCACAGAGACCACAACAAAGAAAGGCAGGUUGCUUACCUGUAACUGGCAUUCUUUGAGUGGUCUUCUGUGCAUUCACACAACCCUCCCACUGGCCCCAUGUCAACGUUAGUGGAAUCAGUCACGUUUACUUACCAUUACCUAAGCUCCUAACUCAAUUUAACCAGUGAACCAUCAGUAUCAAGCUGGAUGAA